AUGCUCAUCAUGUGGCAAAAUCUAUUCUUUCGAGAAGUGGUCAGACUUCACGGAGUACCAAGGUCCAUCGUGUUAGACUGUGGUAGCAAGUUUCUUGCUGCAUUUUGGCUCACUUUGUGGAAGCAAUUCAACACUAAAUUGAAAUUUUCUAGCACUGCUCAUCCACAAACAGAUGGACAAACGAAAGUGGUUAACAAGUUUUUGGGUAAUCUGAUCCGUUGCAUUUGUGGAGAAAGAAAGGGACAAUGGGAUUUAGCUCUAUCUCUUGCAGAGUUCUACAAUGAUUCCAAGCAUAGAUCCACGGGAAGGAGCGUUUUUCCAUUGUCUACACUAAAGUUCCAACACAUGUGGUGGAUCUGGUGA
RNAcentral lists this ribosomal RNA (363 nucleotides) under Triticum aestivum (bread wheat). RNAcentral's name for it is "partial small subunit ribosomal RNA". The record is from RNAcentral. Lineage: Eukaryota; Viridiplantae; Streptophyta; Magnoliopsida; Poales; Poaceae.